Non-coding RNA from Trichonephila inaurata madagascariensis, 72 nucleotides. The record is from the annotation of a GenBank genome assembly. NCBI's taxonomy places the organism in Eukaryota, Metazoa, Arthropoda, Arachnida, Araneae, Nephilidae.
GUUCCGGUAGCACAAUGAUAGCGCGUUGGAUUUCUAAUCCAAAGGUUGUGGGUUCGAAUCUUACCUGGGAUG